Molecule: ribosomal RNA, 497 nt
Filed under: uncultured bacterium
Lineage: Bacteria
Description: partial 16S ribosomal RNA
Rfam family: Bacterial small subunit ribosomal RNA
Source: RNAcentral
GAUGAACGCUGGCGGCGUGCCUAAUACAUGCAAGUCGAGCGAACGGACGAGAAGCUUGCUUCUCUGAUGUUAGCGGCGGACGGGUGAGUAACACGUGGAUAACCUACCUAUAAGACUGGGAUAACUUCGGGAAACCGUAGCUAAUACCGGAUAAUAUUUUGAACCGCAUGGUUCAAAAGUUAAAGACGUUCUUGCUGUCACUUAUAGAUGGAUCCGCGCUGCAUUAGCUAGUUGGUAAGGUAACGGCUUACCAAGGCAACGAUGCAUAGCCGACCUGAGAGGGUGAUAGGCCACACUGGAACGGAGACACGGUCCAGACUCCUACGGGAGGCAGCAGUAGGGAAUCUUCCGCAAUGGGCGAAAGACUGACGGAGCAACGCCGCGUGAGUGAUGAAGGUCUUCGGAUCGUAAAACUCUGUUAUUAGGGAAGAACAUAUGUGUAAGUAACUGUGCACAUCUUGACGGUACCUAAUCAGAAAGCCACGGCUAACUACGUG